Molecule: ribosomal RNA, 253 nt
Filed under: uncultured bacterium
Lineage: Bacteria
Description: partial 16S ribosomal RNA
Rfam family: Bacterial small subunit ribosomal RNA
Source: RNAcentral
UACGAGGGGGGCGAGCGUUGUUCGGAAUUACUGGGCGUAAAGGGCGCGUAGGCGGAUAGUUUAGUCAGAGGUGAAAGCCCAGGGCUCAACCCUGGAAUUGCCUUUGAUACUGGCUAUCUUGAGUUCGGGAGAGGUGAGUGGAACUCCGAGUGUAGAGGUGAAAUUCGUAGAUAUUCGGAAGAACACCAGUGGCGAAGGCGACUCACUGGCCCGAUACUGACGCUGAGGCGCGAAAGCGUGGGGAGCAAACAGG